This 717-nucleotide ribosomal RNA is filed under the name Celeribacter sp. RNAcentral describes it as "bacterial SSU rRNA". It matches the Rfam family "Bacterial small subunit ribosomal RNA", at positions 140 to 893 of the family's 1533-position model. Lineage: Bacteria; Pseudomonadati; Pseudomonadota; Alphaproteobacteria; Rhodobacterales; Roseobacteraceae. The record is from RNAcentral.
GGAAUAGUCCCGGGAAACUGGGUUUAAUACCGUAUACGCCCUUCGGGGGAAAGAAUUUCGGUGAGGGAUCGGCCCGCGUUAGAUUAGUUAGUUGGUGGGGUAAUGGCCUACCAAGACUACGAUCUAUAGCUGGUUUGAGAGGAUGAUCAGCAACACUGGGACUGAGACACGGCCCAGACUCCUACGGGAGGCAGCAGUGGGGAAUCUUAGACAAUGGGGGCAACCCUGAUCUAGCGAUGCCGCGUGAGUGAUGAAGGCCUUAGGGUCGUAAAGCUCUUUCGCCUGUGAUGAUAAUGACAGUAGCAGGUAAAGAAACCCCGGCUAACUCCGUGCCAGCAGCCGCGGUAAUACGGAGGGGGUUAGCGUUGUUCGGAAUUACUGGGCGUAAAGCGCACGUAGGCGGAUUAGUCAGUCAGAGGUGAAAUCCCAGGGCUCAACCCUGGAACUGCCUUUGAUACUGCUAGUCUUGAGUUCGAGAGAGGUAAGUGGAAUUCCGAGUGUAGAGGUGAAAUUCGUAGAUAUUCGGAGGAACACCAGUGGCGAAGGCGGCUUACUGGCUCGAUACUGACGCUGAGGUGCGAAAGUGUGGGGAGCAAACAGGAUUAGAUACCCUGGUAGUCCACACCGUAAACGAUGAAUGCCAGUCGUCGGGUAGCAUGCUAUUCGGUGACACACCUAACGGAUUAAGCAUUCCGCCUGGGGAGUACGGUCGCAAGA